Xenopus laevis (African clawed frog) is the source of this 136-nucleotide non-coding RNA. Lineage: Eukaryota; Metazoa; Chordata; Amphibia; Anura; Pipidae. The record is from Rfam.
AAUUUCACACCUGGAUGUGCUCACUCAACCAAGAAUGCAAAGACAGAGUCUGCCCGACACUCAGGAAGGUUCUCUCUCUUGCUCCUGCCCGGAAUCCUCCAGGCUCCAGGGCUCCAGCAUUGCCUGCCUACUGGGA